RNAcentral lists this ribosomal RNA (426 nucleotides) under uncultured bacterium. Its description in RNAcentral is "bacterial SSU rRNA". It matches the Rfam family "Bacterial small subunit ribosomal RNA", at positions 31 to 502 of the family's 1533-position model. The record is from RNAcentral.
GUACGCUGGCGGCACGCCUAACACAUGCAAGUCGAACGAAGUAGCAAUACUUAGUGGCAGACGGGUGAGUAACAUGUGGGUAUCUUCCCUAUGGCCUGGAAUAACACGAGGAAACUUGUGCUAAUACUGGAUAAGUCUUUACGGAGAAAGCUUUAUGCACCAUUGGAUGAGCCCGCACUUGAUUAGUUAGUUGGUAGGGUAAUGGCCUACCAAGACUUUGAUCAAUAGCUGAUUUGAGAGGAUGAUCAGCCACAUUGGGACUGAGACACGGCCCAAACUCCUACGGGAGGCAGCAGUGGGGAAUCUUGCACAAUGGAGGAAACUCUGAUGCAGCGAUGCCGCGUGAGUGAAGAAGGCCCUUGGGUUGUAAAGCUCUUUCGUCGGGGAAGAAAAUGACUGUACCCGAAUAAGAAGGUCCGGCUAACU